UGCACUAUUUGACGUUACCUACAGAAGAAGCACCGGCUAACUCCGUGCCAGCAGCCGCGGUAAUACGGAGGGUGCGAGCGUUAAUCGGAAUUACUGGGCGUAAAGCGCAUGCAGGCGGCCUGUUAAGUCAGAUGUGAAAGCCCCGGGGCUUAACCUCGGAAUUGCAUUUGAAACUGGCAGGCUAGAGUCUUGUAGAGGGGGUAGGAAUUUCAGGUGUAGCGGUGAAAUGCGUAGAGAUCUGAAGGAAUACCAGUGGCGAAGGCGGCCCCCUCGGACAAAGAACUGACGCUCAGAUGCGAAAGCGUGGGGAGGCAAACAGGAUUAGAUACCCUGGUAG
Molecule: ribosomal RNA, 337 nt
Filed under: uncultured bacterium
Lineage: Bacteria
Description: bacterial SSU rRNA
Rfam family: Bacterial small subunit ribosomal RNA
Source: RNAcentral